UCAUGUUACCUACAAAAUUAAAAAUAUUUUAAUAAAUUUAAUAUACUUUAAUUUAAAAUCAUGCUUCCACCAUCUUAUUUUAGUUGGACACUGUCACGAUCCAAAAAUGAGGGAUAUGAUGGCACUUGUAGCAGCGUACCUUCACAAGUAAGCCUAUCACCCAAACUAAUACGAAAAGAGAAAAAGAUAGAAAUAUCCUAAUACGGGUCAAAGAAGCGUCUUAGUACUCGAGGACAUGAAGACGUGAGUAAAGACCCGAGCUUGUGUGGCUGCCCAUCCAAGGAACAAGUUUUGAAGUAUUGAGAACAAGUCCCAACACUCCAAAACCGUCUAAGGAGUACACUACAAGGUUGCCCCUUUGUAAUUAAGUGUUUCCCUAAUCUAUAAAUAUAACAUUUAGUUCAUUUUGUCAUUUUAGAACUUUGACGAUAUAUUUUGAAUACUCUUUGAGAGUGUCUUGCAAGGUGGAAUCUUUGUGUUGAUAGCUUGCUUAGAAACUGUGGUUGCUUGGGAGCUCCGAUUUCCUUGAGGUCUACAUAAGAGUGUAGGUGUCUUGUAUUCAUGUUAUUUGUAUUUUGAUGUUUAAUGUACAUCUUAGUUCCUAUAACGUGUAGUACAUUUUAUCUCACUAUCUAUCCAUUUAUCUAUUGCAAAUCGUUAGUUCUUGUGUUUGCCUCUUGUAGCCAUUUUGUGUUCUUGUUGUCUUAUGUUGUUGUUACAUUAUUGGGGACUGUUUUGAGGCUUAUUUGGACUGUUUGGUAUCAUUUGGUAUCAAAUCCAUCAUUAAUUUCGUUCUCACGAGAUCAAUCUUAGGUUUGUUCACUCAAAAAUUAAAAAAAGAAAGUGUUGAAAAGCUGGAAACUCAAAAAUAGUAAUCUGUCCACGUUUUUGUGUUUAGGACAAAAGUUUAAGCCUAGUUUUCUAGUAAUUUUUGUGUAUUUUUUGUUUUCUAGUGUUAGAUCUUUAUUUCCUAGCAUUAGAAGAGGUAUCCAAGGUCGAAAAUCUCACAAAUAGAAGUUAUUCUACGUGUUUGGUGUCUUGGCUGAAGUGUUGUUGUUGUUUGACCGAAUUUGUGUUUUUCGUGUUGUUUUGAUUGUCUUUGUUGUUUCUUGUGUUGGUUUUCUUUCUAUCUAACACUACUUGAGUCUAACCCAAGUUCUUGAGCAAAAAAAAUUGCAAGUUGUUGUGGGAAGAGUGGACGGUUUUUUUUUUGUUGUUGGAGUUCUUGUGUUGUGUUAAAGAAGUCUUGUAAAAGGUUGUUGUUUGAUCCAAAUUCAAAGGAAAGAGAGUGUGGGUUUUGUUAGUCUUGAAACAAAUUUCAAGACAUUACAAAAGGGGAAAAGGAACAAAAGACCUCCCAAAAGUCUUCAUACCAAAAGGGAGUAAAUUCAUUUUUUGCUAGACAAGCCAAAAGAGGAAAGGGGGACAAGACCCCCAAAAGGUUGUCUUGCCAUUUUAGUGCAAGUAGGUGAAAGACUUUAUGAGUCUUAAAAGUGGAGUCUAGACCUUGUUUGUCCCAUACUUUGGCCGAAAUUCUCCUCUUCCAUACAUGAAAUUGAACAACUAGUUUCUUGAAACAAAAAAUUUUCAACUUCAACCACUAGUUUCACUUUCUUGUUUCCAUUAGUUUCAAUUUUGUUGAUUCUCAUGCUAAUUAGCAAACUAGUAAAUACCUACUAGGUUGUAGAUUAGUUUAUGAGUACGUUUUCUUUCGUGUUAAGCAUUGUAUUGUGUGCUUUUCUCAUUUUUAAGUUGUAGUAUUUUCUUUGGUCCAAGUUCAAACAUUAUUUCUUGAGUUGUUUCAAAAGAAUCUACUCCGACCUCGAUCCACAAUUGGGAUCAAGUAGCCUCAUUGGAGUAUAAGCGAGUUAUCAACACUUGUGAGGCCAAUAGAGUGAAUACUUCAAAAGUGUGAGCUUGAGAGAUUACGGACUGUUUUGAGAUGAAUUGUGGACUGAUUUUUUCUAACCUUUAAUGUGUUUGCUAUUUUUGUGUUGUUUGUUUAGUAGUUCUGGAUAGGUACAAUGGCGGAUGAAGGUGAAAUGCCUAGUUGCUUUAAAUCCAUCGUGGCAAAACUUGAUGCCAUGGAAAGCCUAUUAAGAUCUUUUAAAGGAAAAAUGGAGAAAAUGAAAAGACGAAUAGAAAGAAUGGAAAGAAUAAUGGAUAGAAUGGAAGGACGAAAAGAAAGGACGGAGAGCUCUAUUUGCAAGAAGUUGGAUAACUUGAUAGAGUAUCCAAGCUUUCCUAAUCCAAUUUCCAUGAGUGGCCAUGCUCCACAUGAGCUACUAGGUAAUCAAAUUAACUCUAGCACUCUAGUGAAUAAAGUUAAUAACUAUCUAAGUGUGAAUGAUAGUUUGUCUUUAGGUGAGCCGAAUGUGCCUUCAUUUUGUGAUGAUAAUGUACAACUUGAGAUUGUGGAUACACUAGUUGAUCCACCUAGUGUUGAAUCCAUUGUGGUAAGUGAUAGUACAUUGUUUUAUGGAAGUCAUGAAGACCAACUUUUGUGUGAAAAUGGUGAUGUUGAGCAUGUUGGACAAUUGACUAGGGAUGACCCUCUAGUUGUUUUUGUUGUAAAUCACAUGAGUAUAGAGGGAAUAUUUGAUCGUUAUUAUAGUAGUAUUGGGGUAGGGAAAUAUAUUCCCAACCUAUUCCCAUGGACACUCCACCCAUUUGACCCAGGUGAUCAUUUGAAAUAUGGUGAUGAUGUCUUUUGGAAUGACUUGAAUGUGUAUGAAAUGUAUGGUUUUCCUAUCUCAACUUUCAAGCCUAUUUGUUGUUCCAAGAAGAGUCUAAGUUUUCCACUUGAUAAGUAACUCUUGUUCCUUGUUUCUUGUCAUACUUAUGUGGGUAGACUAAUUUAUUCUUUCUUGGGAAGGUAUUCGGGUAAGAGGGAUGUUUGGUUGUAUAAAGUUUGAGCCACCUUGGAAAGAUGCUAUGAUUGAUUACACUAAUCCUAACCCUCAUAUCUUGAGAAACUUGUUUGCUCGUCCUUCCUAUUAUUUUGCAAGGUUCAGAUUCGAGGGAGAAUCCUUUCUAAGGAGAGGAGGAUGAUACGGGUCAAAGUGGUAUCUUAGCACUCGAGGACAUGAAGAUGUGAGUGAAGACCCGAGCUUGUGGGGCUGACCAUCCAAGGAACAAGUUUUGAAGUGUUGAGAACAAGUCCCAACACUCCAAAACCGUCCAAGGAGUACACUACAAGGUUGCCCCUUUGUUUGGGCUCAUUAAGGGCCUUU
RNAcentral lists this long non-coding RNA (3233 nucleotides) under Capsicum annuum. RNAcentral's name for it is "long non-coding RNA (CANN_LNC021486)". Lineage: Eukaryota; Viridiplantae; Streptophyta; Magnoliopsida; Solanales; Solanaceae. The record is from RNAcentral.